RNAcentral lists this ribosomal RNA (492 nucleotides) under uncultured bacterium. RNAcentral's name for it is "partial 16S ribosomal RNA". It matches the Rfam family "Bacterial small subunit ribosomal RNA", at positions 29 to 507 of the family's 1533-position model. The record is from RNAcentral.
AGUGAACGCUGGCGGUAGGCCUAACACAUGCAAGUCGAACGGCAGCACAGUAAUAGCUUGCUCUUACGGGGUGCGAGUGGCGGACGGGUGAGGAAUACAUCGGAAUCUACUUUUUCGUGGGGGAUAACGUAGGGAAACUUACGCUAAUACCGCAUACGACCUACGGGUGAAAGCAGGGGAUCUUCGGACCUUGCGCGAGUGAAUGAGCCGAUGUCGGAUUAGCUAGUUGGCGGGGUAAAGGCCCACCAAGGCGACGAUCCGUAGCUGGUCUGAGAGGUUGAUCAGCCACACUGGAACUGAGACACGGCCCAGACUCCUACGGGAGGCAGCAGUGGGGAAUAUUGGACAAUGGGCGAAAGCCUGAUCCAGCAAUACCGCGUGGGUGAAGAAGGCCUUCGGGUUGUAAAGCCCUUUUGUUGGGAAAGAAAAGCAGCAGGUUAAUACCACGCUGUUCUGACGGUACCCAACGAAUAAGCACCGGCUAACUUCGUG